AUACCGAAAAAAAUAUACCCCUAUUUUUUAUUUUGAAAUCAAAAAAUAUUUAGAGGUCGCUGAAAGCGCUCACAGUCUUCCAUGUACUUUAUAAGGAA
Rhagoletis zephyria (snowberry fruit fly) is the source of this 98-nucleotide long non-coding RNA. RefSeq lists it as uncharacterized. NCBI's taxonomy places the organism in Eukaryota, Metazoa, Arthropoda, Insecta, Diptera, Tephritidae. The record is from RefSeq and is a predicted model, not a curated record.